Non-coding RNA from Pongo pygmaeus (Bornean orangutan), 73 nucleotides. Lineage: Eukaryota; Metazoa; Chordata; Mammalia; Primates; Hominidae. The record is from the annotation of a RefSeq genome assembly.
GGCCCUGUAGCUCAGGGGUUGGAGCACUGGUCUCGUAAACCAGGGGUCGUGAGUUCAAAUCUUACCAAGGCCU